GGCAAACCGAAAACGGCAAAGAUCAUUCUUCGGAGUUGUUAAAGUUUUGAAUCUCAAGAAGAUCAUUUUAACGUUCAUUAAGCGCAAGUGGAUAAGUGAAGUGAUGUCUGACAAAAUGAUGUUCCGUUGCAGCCGAUGCAACAACAUUUAUUACGCCACCGAUUGUAAUAUGAAUCAGUCCCGCACAUGCCGCGUUUGCUUGCAUGACAAUUUCCCAACCAGAAAGGUCGAACAUCAUGAAACUCCAAAAAAAGAAGCCGCGCGCAUGCGAGGUACUUCAGAAUCAUCCAAAUGAUGGAUUUUCCAAGCAACGCAUCUUUUUGUAAUAUGCGCAAACAUUUGAUUUCUCGUUUCCUCGAUUGAACACUCUUUAUAAAAUCAUAUUUUGUGAACAAUCAUCAUUGAAAUUUUGACGAGAAUCGAAUAAAAAUAUGAAAAAUGUAAAGCUAAGUGUUGUCAUUUGAAAUGAUUUUGGAAUCUAUGUAGCUAUUUUAUUUAAAAGUAUCUCAUGGAGAGUUUUAGAUUUUAAAGAGAGAGCAAAGGUGAAUAAAAAGUUCCCGAGUAUAAAAUUGAAAAAAGAAACAAUCACAGUCGAACCGAUUUGUCAUUAUCUUCUUAUAUUUCACAAAGUCAAAGGAAAAAUAUCGCAAAACUCGAAUGUUGUGAAAACAUCUUAUCGAAUAAGAACGAAUUUGAGCAUUCUUUUUAAACAAAUCUCAAUUUUCAAAACAUAUUCGGCUUGUUGAUAAAUGCCAUGCAAUAACAUGCUCUGAACAA
Molecule: long non-coding RNA, 777 nt
Organism: Sitodiplosis mosellana (orange wheat blossom midge)
Lineage: Eukaryota; Metazoa; Arthropoda; Insecta; Diptera; Cecidomyiidae
Exons: 3
Source: RefSeq, a predicted model, not a curated record